GGCGAACGGGUGAGUAACACGUGGGUGAUCUGCCUCGUACUCUGGGAUAAGCCUGGGAAACUGGGUCUAAUACCGGAUAUGACCACGAAUCGCAUGGUUUGUGGUGGAAAGAUUUAUCGGUGCGAGAUGGGCCCGCGGCCUAUCAGCUUGUUGGUGGGGUAAUGGCCUACCAAGGCGACGACGGGUAGCCGACCUGAGAGGGUGACCGGCCACACUGGGACUGAGACACGGCCCAGACUCCUACGGGAGGCAGCAGUGGGGAAUAUUGCACAAUGGGCGAAAGCCUGAUGCAGCGACGCCGCGUGAGGGAUGACGGCCUUCGGGUUGUAAACCUCUUUCGACAGGGACGAAGCGUAAGUGACGGUACCUGUAGAAGAAGCACCGGCCAACUACGUGCCAGCAGCCGCGGUAAUACGUAGGGUGCGAGCGUUGUCCGGAAUUACUGGGCGUAAAGAGCUUGUAGGCGGUUCGUCGCGUCGAUUGUGAAAACUUGCAGCUCAACUGCAAGCUUGCAGUCGAUACGGGCGGACUAGAGUACUUCAGGGGAGACUGGAAUUCCUGGUGUAGCGGUGAAAUGCGCAGAUAUCAGGAGGAACACCGGUGGCGAAGGCGGGUCUCUGGGAAGUAACUGACGCUGAGAAGCGAAAGCGUGGGUAGCGAACAGGAUUAGAUACCCUGGU
Molecule: ribosomal RNA, 680 nt
Filed under: Nocardia nova
Lineage: Bacteria; Bacillati; Actinomycetota; Actinomycetes; Mycobacteriales; Nocardiaceae
Description: bacterial SSU rRNA
Rfam family: Bacterial small subunit ribosomal RNA
Source: RNAcentral